Molecule: long non-coding RNA, 2094 nt
Filed under: Helianthus annuus (common sunflower)
Lineage: Eukaryota; Viridiplantae; Streptophyta; Magnoliopsida; Asterales; Asteraceae
Description: hypothetical non coding rna
Source: RNAcentral
UUUUUAGAAUUCGAAGUCAUCACCCACUCCAAUCGGUUCUUUCCCUCAACCUCUAUCAAUCGUCUUAUUCUUAUUCGAUCAAUUCCAAUCCCCCAUACCUGAUACCCCAAGCAGAUGCUUGUCUCUACCCAUCGGUUUCUAUUUCUACCACUGUACCACUCAUAAGUCACGGUCCGGCGAACCACCACUGCACCACCAGACGACCCAUCAUAACCGCUCGAUCGGAUCCUAGUUUCUUGACUCCUCGCUUCAGUUCUAACUUCAGCCCUAAGCAGGUACUCUUUCUCUUCCAUCAACCUUACUUCAAUUACAUUUAGGGUUUUAAUUAAAUCGUUGAAUUUGGUUGUAAAUGUGUGUAACUAUCUGAGGCGGUAUAUAGCAGUAGAAAAAAUUGCAUAGCAAAUCCAAAGAGUGGCAUCUUUUACACCAUUGUAUUAUGUUUUGUGCCAAAGAGUGGCAUUUUUUGCACCAUUGUAUUAUGUUUUGAGGUAAUCCGAUUUGUUGGAGUCAAUAGGAAUAUGACAGUUGAUUGCAUUAAGAAAAGGGGAAUUUUUCUCAGCAUUGUUGCAAUUGUGGUGCUUAAUCGGUUGUUACGGGUCACGCGGAUCAAAUGAGUCACGGGUCAGCAGUUCAAAUGGGUAAAUCGGUCAGAAUUAUGUUUAACUUGCAGCAGGAGUUGUGUUUAUUUUUCUGUUAAUAGGUCAAAUAGUGGGCUUUUAGUUAUGGGUCACGUUUUCUUUUUUGUAGGGUUGUUUCUGAGUUACUCCCAAUCACGAUCGGGAAGUGGAGUCUAGAUCCAGUUUUUUGGUUUAAUGAAAUCCCAUUUGGCCGUUAGAAUAACAAAGAUGCUGGUGUAAACGAGAGCUCGGCUCGGAAUGAGCCGAGCUUAAAUGACCCAAGAGGAACAUCAUUAAUCUUAAUUUACCAUCAUUUACCCAUCAUCUUCAUUUUACUCAAUAUCAAGGGAGAUAUGGUGAUUGUGCACAACGUUUUAAAAUCCGGUUUUUAUACCGUAUCGGAUUAGGCUCAAAAACAGUUUAACCGGGUGUAUCGGGUGGUUCAACCGGGUGUAUCGGGCGUUUAACCGGUUCUGUUGUUCUAUUGGGCUAUGUGGGCGGUCACUCGGAAUUGGCAUAGAAAGAAGAAGACCAUGCAUGAUUCAAUGCCAGCAUAUAUUUCUUGGGUCCGGUUGAAACCAGUUUAGCUCAAACCAAUUUGAUACUGCAGAUCGGGUCAGUUGAAGUUUCUAUUCAAGCCAAUACUUGGAUUGUUAGCGGUUCUCCUCAAGUACAGCGUUGAGAGCACUUCCAACAGUGUAGCCAAGAGACAUUGAUGACACCCGAUCACAGUUCAACUCUUCAAGAGCUUAAAUCUCCUAAGGGACCACACGACAAGGGUACAAGUUCAGCUUUUUGGCUCAGCUCACGGCACACGUAAUCCUAUUUGCACGCUUGCUGAUAUGGAUGUCAAGGCCGAUGUAGCCAAAGCUCCUGUUGCUGUUGCUUAGUGUGUUUUCACCUCUUAGUUUAGUUGAUAUAUAAUAAUUUGUACUGUUGCUUAGUGUGUUCUCGCCUCUUAGUUUAGUUGAUAUAUAAUAACUUGUACCGUGAAUACAGAGAAACGACGAACCAAACAAGGAAUUACCUAGCUUAACAAAAGUGUUUGAACUUACACGGAAAAGGAACGAAAGACGUUCAUAUCUUGAUACAUAUGACGAUACGGCAACGAAAAUUCCAUAAUAUUUGACUUCUCCAAAAACACUAGGCUACUUUUCCAGUCUUUUUAAGGUGAAUCAAUGUAGAAAUUGAAGAUGAUCAUCAAAGGAAAAAAGCUGAGAUAGAAGCUAUGAAGAAAGAUUUUCACAGCUAACAAGCACAUUUGGAAUCUAGGAUACAAAGUGUUUUGAAAAAGCUACCGGUUGAAGUACUUCAAGAUCUUCAAGAUGAGUAGAAAGUUUUUGUUGCUUUUUAUCAUUGUAAUCGACAACUUUGUUUUCAUUACGUUGUUUUUUAGUUUGGAAUAUGUUAAACUACUAUAUAAGAUAUUUAUGUUAUUAUUACAUUGGUUGAAUUAUCUAAUAGAAAAUUUAGUAUU